CCUACGGGAGGCAGCAGUCGGGAAUUUUGGGCAAUGGGCGAAAGCCUGACCCAGCAACGCCGCGUGAGGGAUGAAGGCCUUCGGGUCGUAAACCUCUUUCA
RNAcentral lists this ribosomal RNA (101 nucleotides) under uncultured Desulfovibrio sp. Its description in RNAcentral is "partial 16S ribosomal RNA". It matches the Rfam family "Bacterial small subunit ribosomal RNA", at positions 338 to 438 of the family's 1533-position model. The record is from RNAcentral. Lineage: Bacteria; Pseudomonadati; Thermodesulfobacteriota; Desulfovibrionia; Desulfovibrionales; Desulfovibrionaceae.